UGGUACCUGAAAAAAAAGAGACAUUGCACAUACUUUUGUAAACCAAGAAAAUCUUUAAUAAAAAUACAUUUAAAAAAGCUUACUAGUCCUCAUGGUGGCUUAGAAUGUGUGUGUGUGUGUGUGUGUGUGUGUGUGUAUUCUGUGUGUAUUUGCAGGGAAACCAA
Podarcis lilfordi (Lilford's wall lizard) is the source of this 164-nucleotide non-coding RNA. The record is from the annotation of a GenBank genome assembly. NCBI's taxonomy places the organism in Eukaryota, Metazoa, Chordata, Lepidosauria, Squamata, Lacertidae.